Molecule: long non-coding RNA, 492 nt
Filed under: Nicotiana benthamiana
Lineage: Eukaryota; Viridiplantae; Streptophyta; Magnoliopsida; Solanales; Solanaceae
Description: long non-coding RNA (NBEN_LNC032727)
Source: RNAcentral
AAUAUAGAAGGAUAAGACUUAUUUCAAUUUGAGAUGAAAAAUAAAGUGGUAGUAAGAAUUUUUCCAAAAUAAUAUUAUUUAAUAUGCUCAAACAAUGAUAAAUAAAGGUUAGAGAAAACACAGAUAUAUAACGGAUCUAGAAAAUCAGAAGAACCUCAAAGGUUAUGAUUUUCAGAAGAACCCAGAUGGUGAGAAAGACUUGGAAGGUCAUUGAACUGAGUAGGAGAAGCCAAGUGUCAGGCUUGAAUAGCCAUGGCUGGCCAGAACAAGGUCAAAGAUGGCUGGAAACAACAUAGAAGUGGAAGCAUCCAAGAUCUGGACAAAGCUUCUUCAAAGUCUGGUCUUGAAACCAUAAUAAUCGAGCAUGUAGGAGUUGUAGGAGGUGGAUACAUGCCUCUAAUGGCUUUGGAAGCCAUGGAUGACGGUUUCAUGGCGGCGGUUGAGGGUGACGGCUAGGUUUGAGAGAGAAUAUGGGAGAAGGGGGGAUUCAAG